This is a small nuclear RNA of Jaculus jaculus (lesser Egyptian jerboa), 191 nucleotides long. RefSeq annotates it as U2 spliceosomal RNA. The record is from RefSeq and is a predicted model, not a curated record. Lineage: Eukaryota; Metazoa; Chordata; Mammalia; Rodentia; Dipodidae. The transcript has a single exon.
AUCACUUCUUGGGCUUUUGGCUAAGAUCAAGUGUAGUAUCUGUUCUUAUCAGUUUAAUAUCUGAUAUGUCCUCUAUCUGAAGACAAUAUAGUAAAUAGAUUUUUGGAGUUCAGAGUUGGAAUAGGAACUUGUUCCAUCCACUCCACUCAUCGACCUGAUAUUGCAGUACCACUAGGUAUGGUGCACCUCCU